AGUGAACGCUGGCGGUAGGCCUAACACAUGCAAGUCGAACGGCAGCACAGUAAGAGCUUGCUCUUACGGGUGGCGAGUGGCGGACGGGUGAGGAAUACAUCGGAAUCUACUUUUUCGUGGGGGAUAACGUAGGGAAACUUACGCUAAUACCGCAUACGACCUACGGGUGAAAGCAGCGGAUCUUCGGACCUUGCGCGAUUGAAUGAGCCGAUGUCGGAUUAGCUAGUUGGCGGGGUAAAGGCCCACCAAGGCGACGGUCCGUAGCUGGUCUGAGAGGAUGAUCAGCUCCACUGGAACGGAGACACGGUGCAGAGUCCUACGGGAGGCAGCAGUAGGAAAUAUGGGACAAUGGGCUAAAGCCUGCUCCAGCUAUGCCGCGAGGGUGAAGAGGGCCUUCGGCUUGGAAAGCGCUUCUGUUGGAAAAGAAAAGCAGCAAGUUAAAACCGCAGCGUUCUGACGGUACCCAAAGAAGAGGCACCGGCUAACUUCGUG
Molecule: ribosomal RNA, 492 nt
Filed under: uncultured bacterium
Lineage: Bacteria
Description: partial 16S ribosomal RNA
Rfam family: Bacterial small subunit ribosomal RNA
Source: RNAcentral